GGGGAAUUUUGGACAAUGGGGGCAACCCUGAUCCAGCCAUGCCGCGUGGGUGAAGAAGGCCUUCGGGUUGUAAAGCCCUUUUGUUGGGAAAGAAAAGCAGCCGGCCAAUACCCGGUUGUUCUGACGGUACCCAAAGAAUAAGCACCGGCUAACUCCGUGCCAGCAGCCGCGGUAAUACGGAGGGUGCAAGCGUUAUCCGGAUUUAUUGGGUUUAAAGGGUCCGUAGGCGGAUCUAUAAGUCAGUGGUGAAAGCCGACAGCUUAACUGUCGAACUGCCGUUGAUACUGUAGGUCUUGAGUAAAUUUGAAGUGGCUGGAAUAUGUAGUGUAGCGGUGAAAUGCAUAGAUAUUACUUAGAACACCAAUUGCGAAGGCAGGUCACUAAGAUUUAACUGACGCUGAUGGACGAAAGCGUGGGGAGCGAACA
This 426-nucleotide ribosomal RNA is filed under the name uncultured Flavobacteriaceae bacterium. RNAcentral describes it as "bacterial SSU rRNA". It matches the Rfam family "Bacterial small subunit ribosomal RNA", at positions 356 to 774 of the family's 1533-position model. The record is from RNAcentral. Lineage: Bacteria; Pseudomonadati; Bacteroidota; Flavobacteriia; Flavobacteriales; Flavobacteriaceae.